UUCUGGACAAUGGGCGAAAGCCUGAUCCAGCAAUGCCGCGUGUGGGAAGAAGGCCUUCGGGUUGUAAACCACUUUUGUACGGAACGAAACGGUCUGCUUUAAUACAGUGGGCUAAUAACGGUACCUGAAGAAUAAGCACCGGCUAACUACGUGCCAGCAGCCGCGGUAAUACGUAGGGUGCAAGCGUUAAUCGGAAUUACUGGGCGUAAAGCGUGCGCAGGCGGUUAUGUAAGUCAGAUGUGAAAUCCCCGGGCUCAACCUGGGAAUGGCAUUUGAGGCUGCAUGGCUAGAGUGUGUCAGAGGGGGGUAGAAUUCCACGUGUAGCAGUGAAAUGCGUAGAGAUGUGGAGGAAUACCGAUGGCGAAGGCAGCCCCCUGGGAUAACACUGACGCUCAUGCACGAA
RNAcentral lists this ribosomal RNA (403 nucleotides) under uncultured bacterium. RNAcentral describes it as "bacterial SSU rRNA". It matches the Rfam family "Bacterial small subunit ribosomal RNA", at positions 362 to 757 of the family's 1533-position model. The record is from RNAcentral.